Molecule: ribosomal RNA, 823 nt
Filed under: Glomus sp. MUCL 41825
Lineage: Eukaryota; Fungi; Glomeromycota; Glomeromycetes; Glomerales; Glomeraceae
Description: eukaryotic LSU rRNA
Rfam family: Eukaryotic large subunit ribosomal RNA
Source: RNAcentral
GACCUCAAAUCAGGUAAGAAUACCCGCUGAACUUAAGCAUAUCAAUAAGCGGAGGAAAAGAAAAUAACAAUGAUUCCCUCAGUAACGGCGAGCGAAGAGGGAUAAGCUCAAAUUUUAAAUCUGCUGGGUUUCACCUAACAGAGUUGUAUUUUGAAGAAACGUUUUCUGCGUCCCGGGUUAGCCUAAGUCCUUUGGGAUAAGGUAUCAUGGAGGGUGAGAAUCCCGUUCAUGGUUAAUCUUAAGGAUGCUCUACGAUACGUUUUCCAAGAGUCGAGUUGUUUGGGAUUGCAGCUCAAAAUGGGAGGUAAAUUUCUCCUAAGGCUAAAUAUUGGCGAGAGACCGAUAGCGAACAAGUACCGUGAGGGAAAGAUGAAAAGAACUUUGAAAAGAGAGUUAAACAGUACGUGAAAUUGUUGAAAGGGAAACGAUUGAAGUCAGUCAUACCAACGGGAAAUCAACCUUUUGAGCUUUGUCUCGUGGGUUCGAAGAGUUUAAACGCCUUCGGGUUCGCGAGAUUGGGAUCUUCUGGUGUACUUUCUCGUACGGUUAGUCAACAUCGGUUUUGAAUGUCAUAAAAUGACUGGAGGAAUGUAGCUUCGAUCUCGUAUCGAAGUGUUAUAGCCUUUGGUAGAUGUGAUGUUUGAGACCGAGGAUUGCAACGGAUACCCUUUAAGGGCUAUUCGUCUGAUCUCUGAUACGUUGCCUUGACGUUGAAAGCUUGCUUAUGAUGUUAGGGUAUUACGGUCAAAAGGUUAGAACGGAUUAAAUUCGUUAAGGAUGUUGACGUAAUGACUUUAAACGACCCGUCUUGAAACACGGACCA